RNAcentral lists this ribosomal RNA (461 nucleotides) under uncultured bacterium. Its description in RNAcentral is "partial 16S ribosomal RNA". It matches the Rfam family "Bacterial small subunit ribosomal RNA", at positions 338 to 795 of the family's 1533-position model. The record is from RNAcentral.
CCUACGGGUGGCAGCAGUGAGGAAUAUUGGUCAAUGGACGAGAGUCUGAACCAGCCAAGUAGCGUGAAGGAUGACUGCCCUAUGGGUUGUAAACUUCUUUUAUAAAGGAAUAAAACGAGGCACGUGUGCCUUUUUGCAUGUACUUUAUGAAUAAGGAUCGGCUAACUCCGUGCCAGCAGCCGCGGUAAUACGGAGGAUCCGAGCGUUAUCCGGAUUUAUUGGGUUUAAAGGGAGCGUAGAUGGGUUGUUAAGUCAGUUGUGAAAGGUUGCGGCUCAACCGUAAAAUUGCAAUUGAUACUGGCAGUCUUGAGUACAGUUGAGGGAGGCGGAAUUCGUGGUGUAGCGGUGAAAUGCUUAGAUAUCACGAAGAACCCCGAUUGCGAAGGGAGCUUACUAAACUGUGACUGACAUUGAUGCUCGAAAGUGUGGGUAUCAAACAGGAUUAGAUACCCCGUGUAGUC